AAAACGAACAUGUCAGAGUUUGGUGGACUGCAGUUUACGGUCCGACGGCGGUUCAAGGACGUGGUGACAUUGUCGGAUCGAGUAAUGGAGGCAUACCGAGGUUUUUUAUACCUCCAAGGCCUGAUAAGAGUGUGGUUGAGAGUCAAGUAAUGCAAAAGCAAGAGUUUGUUGAACAAAGAAGAUUUGCAUUAGAGAAAUACUUGCAGAGAUUGGUUGAGCAUCCUGUGAUUAGGCAAAGUGGUGAGUUGAGAGCGUUCUUACAGGUUCAGGGGAAGCUUCCCUUGCUACCGAAUUCUCCUGUAACCUUAAGAAUGCUUGAUGGGGCAACAAAAUCGUCAAAACAGUUGCUUGGGGAUAAUUUAGGUGGUGGUAGUGUUAGGAUUCAGCCUCAGGAUGUUGUGCGACCUGCAAAAAGUAAGUGGGAUUUUCUAAGGAUUGUGAAGGAGAUGAACCAAUCUGUGAACAAUAAUUAGGGAGGAUCAAAGCCACCCGUAAACGAGGAUGAUACUGAGUUUCUUCAAAAUAAAGAGAGACUCCUAAAUCUUGAGAAGAAACUUUCCAGUGCUUCCAAGCAGGUAUGUCUGAUAAUACUAACAACCCUUUCUUUCUUCUAAGCAGGUAUGUCUGAGAAGCAACAUCGUGGGAUAAGGUUGCAAAAAUGGUGGGCGGAGAAACCAUAUUUUUUUAGAAAUAAGGUUGCAAAAACGGUCCUCUAGGUGGAAAGACAAAAAUACCCUUGUCUUUAUUGCAAGUAAUAGAACAUAUGAAUGGAAGUUUAUGAAUGGAAGUUAGUGUGAGGAACCAAAAACAAUAAAAAAAAUCUAAUUUUGAACCAUGGUACACCAAACCAAAAAUGCAUAAAUUUGCCAACCAGAGGGACUAUUUUUACAAUUUUGUCUUGUUUUUAUUUAUAAAAAAUAGACUAAACUGCGGGGCAUGUGGUUAGCAC
This 949-nucleotide long non-coding RNA is filed under the name Lactuca sativa (garden lettuce). RNAcentral describes it as "long non-coding RNA (LSAT_LNC002116)". Lineage: Eukaryota; Viridiplantae; Streptophyta; Magnoliopsida; Asterales; Asteraceae. The record is from RNAcentral.